This 1000-nucleotide ribosomal RNA is filed under the name Lactiplantibacillus plantarum. RNAcentral describes it as "bacterial SSU rRNA". It matches the Rfam family "Bacterial small subunit ribosomal RNA", at positions 481 to 1481 of the family's 1533-position model. The record is from RNAcentral. Lineage: Bacteria; Bacillati; Bacillota; Bacilli; Lactobacillales; Lactobacillaceae.
ACCAGAAAAGCCACGGCUAAGUACGUGCCAGCAGCCGCGGUAAUACGUAGGUGGCAAGCGUGUCCGGAUUAUUGGGCGUAAAGCGAGCGCAGGCGGUUUUUUAAGUCUGAUGUGAAAGCCUUUCGGCUCAAACCGAAGAAGUGCAUCCGGAAACUGGGAAACUUGAGUGCAGAAGAGGACAGUGGAACUCCAUGUGUAGCGGUGAAAUGCGUAGAUAUAUGGAAGAACACCAGUGGCGAAGGCGGCUGUCUGGUCUGUAACUGACGCUGAGGCUCGAAAGUAUGGGUAGCAAACAGGAUUAGAUACCCUGGUAGUCCAUACCGUAAACGAUGAAUGCUAAGUGUUGGAGGGUUUCCGCCCUUCAGUGCUGCAGCUAACGCAUUAAGCAUUCCGCCUGGGGAGUACGGCCGCAAGGCUGAAACUCAAAGGAAUUGACGGGGGCCCGCACAAGCGGUGGAGCAUGUGGUUUAAUUCGAAGCUACGCGAAGAACCUUACCAGGUCUUGACAUACUAUGCAAAUCUAAGAGAUUAGACGUCCCCUUCGGGGACAUGGAUACAGGUGGUGCAUGGUUGUCGUCAGCUCGUGUCGUGAGAUGUUGGGUUAAGUCCCGCAACGAGCGCAACCCUUAUUAUCAGUUGCCAGCAUUAAGUUGGGCACUCUGGUGAGACUGCCGGUGACAAACCGGAGGAAGGUGGGGAUGACGUCAAAUCAUCAUGCCCCUUAUGACCUGGGCUACACACGUGCUACAAUGGAUGGUACAACGAGUUGCGAACUCGCGAGAGUAAGCUAAUCUCUUAAAGCCAUUCUCAGUUCGGAUUGUAGGCUGCAACUCGCCUACAUGAAGUCGGAAUCGCUAGUAAUCGCGGAUCAGCAUGCCGCGGUGAAUACGUUCCCGGGCCUUGUACACACCGCCCGUCACACCAUGAGAGUUUGUAACACCCAAAGUCGGUGGGGUAACCUUUUAGGAACCAGCCGCCUAAGGGUGAACAAAAUUGAGGC